RNAcentral lists this ribosomal RNA (161 nucleotides) under Mesobacillus maritimus. RNAcentral's name for it is "partial 16S ribosomal RNA". It matches the Rfam family "Bacterial small subunit ribosomal RNA", at positions 1 to 157 of the family's 1533-position model. Lineage: Bacteria; Bacillati; Bacillota; Bacilli; Caryophanales; Bacillaceae. The record is from RNAcentral.
UUUAUUGGAGAGUUUGAUCCUGGCUCAGGACGAACGCUGGCGGCGUGCCUAAUACAUGCAAGUCGAGCGAAUCUGAGGGAGCUUGCUCCCAAAGAUUAGCGGCGGACGGGUGAGUAACACGUGGGCAACCUGCCUGUAAGACUGGGAUAACUCCGGGAAAC